RNAcentral lists this transfer RNA (71 nucleotides) under Lisarda rhypara. RNAcentral's name for it is "tRNA-Ser". It matches the Rfam family "tRNA". Rfam says of the family: Transfer RNA (tRNA) molecules are approximately 80 nucleotides in length. Lineage: Eukaryota; Metazoa; Arthropoda; Insecta; Hemiptera; Reduviidae. The record is from RNAcentral.
AUUAGCUAAAUAGCUUAAAUAAAGCAUAUAUUUUGAAAAUAUAAGAUGAAGAUUAAGUUCUUAAUUAGCUU